UUAUAAUCCGGCGAGGGGAAAGGGGGGAGUUGUCGCUGGCCUUUUACGAGGCAUGUGCACGCUCUCCUUGGAACCUUUGCCUUAUGGGCGCGGGGCGACCCGCGUCUUCAUAUACCUCUUCGUGUAGAAAGUCUUCGAAUGUUUAUAUUAUCAUCGAGCCGCGACUUCUAGGAGACGCGGUUCUUUGAGACAAAAGUUAUUACAACUUUCAGCAAUGGAUCUCUUGGCUCUCGCAUCGAUGAAGAACGCAGCGAAUCGCGAUAUGUAAUGUGAAUUGCAGAUCUACAGUGAAUCAUCGAAUCUUUGAACGCACCUUGCGCUCCUCGGUGUUCCGAGGAGCAUGCCUGUUUGAGCGUCAGUAAAUUCUCAACCCCUCUCGAUUAGCUUCGAAAGGGCGCUUGGAUAGUGGGGGCUGCCGGAGAUCUGGACUUUUCGUCUGGGACUCGGGCUCUCCUGAAAUGAAUGGGCUUGCGGUCGGCUUUCGACUAUGCAUGACAAGGCUUUUGGCGUGAUAAUGAUCGCCGCUCGCCGAAGUGCAUGAAUGAACGGUCCCGUGCCUCUAAUGCGUCGAUGC
This 574-nucleotide ribosomal RNA is filed under the name Gastrosuillus sp. 'luricinus'. Its description in RNAcentral is "Gastrosuillus luricinus ribosomal RNA". The stretch from base 204 to 358 matches the Rfam family "5.8S ribosomal RNA". Lineage: Eukaryota; Fungi; Basidiomycota; Agaricomycetes; Boletales; Suillaceae. The record is from RNAcentral.